GAUGAAGAACGCAGUGAAAUGCGAUACUUGGUGUGAAUUGCAGAAUCCCGCGAAUCAUCGAGUUUUUGAACGCAAGUUGCGCCCGAAGCCAUUCGGCCGAGGGCACGUCUGCCUGGGUGUCACGCAUCGUUGCCCCCCCAAACUCCGGUUCGGGCGGGGCGGAAGUUGGCCCCCCGUGCGUGCCUGCGCGCGCGGUUAGCCCAAAAGCGAGUCCUCGGCGAUGAGCGCCACGACAAUCGGUGGUUUUUUUACCCUCGUUCCUCGUCGUGCGUGCCCCGUCGCCCGAACGCGCUCUUGCAACCCUUACGCGUCGCCUCGGUGGCGCUCCCAACGCGACCCCAGGUCAGGCGGGACUACCCGCUGAGUUUAAGCAUAUCAAUAAGCGGAGGA
RNAcentral lists this unclassified non-coding RNA (390 nucleotides) under soil metagenome. Its description in RNAcentral is "partial contains 5.8S ribosomal RNA, internal transcribed spacer 2, and large subunit ribosomal RNA". The stretch from base 1 to 122 matches the Rfam family "5.8S ribosomal RNA", at positions 35 to 154 of the family's 154-position model. The record is from RNAcentral.